AGAGUGAACGCUGGCGGUAGGCCUAACACAUGCAAGUCGAACGGCAGCACAGUAGGAGCUUGCUCUUACGGGUGGCGAGUGGCGGACGGGUGAGGAAUACAUCGGAAUCUACCUUUUGGUGGGGGAUAACGUAGGGAAACUUACGCUAAUACCGCAUACGCCCUUCGGGGGAAAGCCGGGGACCAGCAAUGGCCUGGCGCUGAUAGAUGAGCCGAUGUCGGAUUAGCUAGUUGGUGAGGUAAUGGCUCACCAAGGCGACGAUCCGUAGCUGGUCUGAGAGGAUGAUCAGCCACACUGGAACUGAGACACGGUCCAGACUCCUACGGGAGGCAGCAGUGGGGAAUAUUGGACAAUGGGCGCAAGCCUGAUCCAGCCAUACCGCGUGGUGAAGAAGGCCUUCGGUUGUAAAGCCCUUUUGUGGAAAGAAAGCAUUCGGUUAAUACCCGGUGUUCUGACGGUACCCAAGAAUAAGCACCGCUAACUUCGUGCCAGCAGCCGA
This 499-nucleotide ribosomal RNA is filed under the name uncultured soil bacterium. Its description in RNAcentral is "bacterial SSU rRNA". It matches the Rfam family "Bacterial small subunit ribosomal RNA", at positions 26 to 518 of the family's 1533-position model. The record is from RNAcentral.